GGAGGGGUGGCCGAGUGGACGAAGGCGCCUGAUUCGAAAUCAGGUGUGCCCUCACGGGUACCGUGGGUUCGAAUCCCACCCCCUCCG
This 87-nucleotide transfer RNA is filed under the name Persicimonas caeni. It matches the Rfam family "tRNA". From Rfam's summary of the family: Transfer RNA (tRNA) molecules are approximately 80 nucleotides in length. Their secondary structure includes four short double-helical elements and three loops (D, anti-codon, and T loops). The record is from Rfam by way of RNAcentral. Lineage: Bacteria; Deltaproteobacteria; Bradymonadales; Bradymonadaceae.